UAAAUGGCGUCUCUAGACGCCAUAUAAUGAGAUCACAUAAUGAGAU
Lasius niger is the source of this 46-nucleotide non-coding RNA. The record is from Rfam. Lineage: Eukaryota; Metazoa; Arthropoda; Insecta; Hymenoptera; Formicidae.